Molecule: ribosomal RNA, 1508 nt
Filed under: Helicobacter pylori
Lineage: Bacteria; Pseudomonadati; Campylobacterota; Epsilonproteobacteria; Campylobacterales; Helicobacteraceae
Description: bacterial SSU rRNA
Rfam family: Bacterial small subunit ribosomal RNA
Source: RNAcentral
UUUAUGGAGAGUUUGAUCCUGGCUCAGAGUGAACGCUGGCGGCGUGCCUAAUACAUGCAAGUCGAACGAUGAAGCUUCUAGCUUGCUAGAAGUGGAUUAGUGGCGCACGGGUGAGUAACGCAUAGGUCAUGUGCCUCUUAGUUUGGGAUAGCCAUUGGAAACGAUGAUUAAUACCAGAUACUCCCUACGGGGGAAAGAUUUAUCGCUAAGAGAUCAGCCUAUGUCCUAUCAGCUUGUUGGUAAGGUAAUGGCUUACCAAGGCUAUGACGGGUAUCCGGCCUGAGAGGGUGAACGGACACACUGGAACUGAGACACGGUCCAGACUCCUACGGGAGGCAGCAGUAGGGAAUAUUGCUCAAUGGGGGAAACCCUGAAGCAGCAACGCCGCGUGGAGGAUGAAGGUUUUAGGAUUGUAAACUCCUUUUGUUAGAGAAGAUAAUGACGGUAUCUAACGAAUAAGCACCGGCCAACUCCGUGCCAGCAGCCGCGGUAAUACGGAGGGUGCAAGCGUUACUCGGAAUCACUGGGCGUAAAGAGCGCGUAGGCGGGAUAGUCAGUCAGGUGUGAAAUCCUAUGGCUUAACCAUAGAACUGCAUUUGAAACUACUAUUCUAGAGUGUGGGAGAGGUAGGUGGAAUUCUUGGUGUAGGGGUAAAAUCCGUAGAGAUCAAGAGGAAUACUCAUUGCGAAGGCGACCUGCUGGAACAUUACUGACGCUGAUUGCGCGAAAGCGUGGGGAGCAAACAGGAUUAGAUACCCUGGUAGUCCACGCCCUAAACGAUGGAUGCUAGUUGUUGGAGGGCUUAGUCUCUCCAGUAAUGCAGCUAACGCAUUAAGCAUCCCGCCUGGGGAGUACGGUCGCAAGAUUAAAACUCAAAGGAAUAGACGGGGACCCGCACAAGCGGUGGAGCAUGUGGUUUAAUUCGAAGAUACACGAAGAACCUUACCUAGGCUUGACAUUGAGAGAAUCCGCUAGAAAUAGUGGAGUGUCUAGCUUGCUAGACCUUGAAAACAGGUGCUGCACGGCUGUCGUCAGCUCGUGUCGUGAGAUGUUGGGUUAAGUCCCGCAACGAGCGCAACCCCCUUUCUUAGUUGCUAACAGGUCAUGCUGAGAACUCUAAGGAUACUGCCUCCGUAAGGAGGAGGAAGGUGGGGACGACGUCAAGUCAUCAUGGCCCUUACGCCUAGGGCUACACACGUGCUACAAUGGGGUGCACAAAGAGAAGCAAUACUGCGAAGUGGAGCCAAUCUUCAAAACGCCUCUCAGUUCGGAUUGUAGGCUGCAACUCGCCUGCAUGAAGCUGGAAUCGCUAGUAAUCGCAAAUCAGCCAUGUUGCGGUGAAUACGUUCCCGGGUCUUGUACUCACCGCCCGUCACACCAUGGGAGUUGUGUUUGCCUUAAGUCAGGAUGCUAAAUUAGCUACUGCCCACGGCACACACAGCGACUGGGGUGAAGUCGUAACAAGGUAACCGUAGGUGAACCUGCGGUUGGAUCACCUCCUUUCUAGA